Molecule: long non-coding RNA, 353 nt
Filed under: Phaseolus vulgaris (common bean)
Lineage: Eukaryota; Viridiplantae; Streptophyta; Magnoliopsida; Fabales; Fabaceae
Description: long non-coding RNA (PVUL_LNC002432)
Source: RNAcentral
UUUUUCUUCCAUUACUCUACAAGACAUGAAACAUUUUCCAACGUUGUUGCAAAACUUGCACGCACUCAUGGCGGAAAUAGAAGCUCAAACCUAUGUCAAACUCUUCCUCAUCUGGCUACUCUUCACCAUCGUGGUUCGCGCCAUACUCUGGUCCACGCGCCGCCAUCCCCGCCGUCCACCAGGGCCACCCUCUCUCCCCGUCAUCGGCCACCUCCACCUGAUCUCCGCCCUCCCUCACCAGUCAUUCCACGCGCUGGCCGCACGCCACGGCCCCAUCAUGCAGAUCUUCCUGGGGUCCGUUUCGUGCGUGGUGGUUUCGUGCCCGGAAAUGGCGAAAGAGUUCUUGAAAGCAC